GCCUGUGUCUGUUGAGCCCUGGCCUAGGACCUGAGCCCUGGGGAGGGGGAGGGCAGUGGCCUCAGCAGGCCCCGGACGCCCAGUCCCUAGCAUUGUUCGUGUGAUGUUGCUAGUGCCUGCCAGGUAGACCGGACUGACCUCCGGGCACCUCCCUCAAGCCAAUGCUGCAGGUACUUGGUAUGGGGCGUCAGGGACUUUGAUAAGAAGAGACAGGGCAGAAGGAUUAGCCAGGGGCUGCCGCCUAGAGUUCCCACCGGAGUGGAGUGACACCACUCGGGCUCCCUCAGCAACUGGCAGCAUCUUUUUCUUACAGGUGCUCAGCUCUGUCAGCUGCAGAUUCACUGAGAACUCCUACCUUGGUAUUCCUCACACUAACCCCCCUCUUUCCAUUUCCCCAGGCUCUAGAAAGGGCCCGUGAACAGAAAGCUGGCUGCGAAAGGGCUGGCCAGAACCCCCAUGAGACCUUAACUGACUCACUUUCUCAGAUGUUGAACUCUCCUGAUUGUGAAAUGACUGGGGCUGGGGUUUGGUGCCAGGAGAUGCUUGGACAGCUGUGUGAGUGGGGGAGAGCACAGCCGAAGGGUUUCUGGAACUGUCCCAAUGAGCUGCUCACAGUGCCAGGAAGAUAUUGGAAGGCGGCAUCCCUUCAUGCCCAGCAUGUCAGCCAUUCGUGUAUCCGCUAACCCUCCUAGCAAAACAGUGACCUGUCACGACCAAGUAAGGCACAUGGGUAACAUCAAGGCAAGAACACCUGUUUCAGGGUCCCUGUGGGGCUCUUGGCAUGUGGGCAAAGUUCCUGGACUGAGUCUUCACACCACAAACUGUAGCUAUGCCAUCUUAUUUUAGAGAUGGGAAGUCGGGCUCAGGAUAGCCACUCGCCAGGGGCAAAGCCAGCUUGUUUGAAUCCGAGUUCACCCUAACAGGGAAAGAAAUGGGGGAAAUACAACCUAACUCAAGACCCCAGGGCUUCUCCAUGCCUAUUCUUAAAAGUUCCUGUCAGAGAUAAAGCCAGGAUGCCAGUCUUGGGUCUAUCAUUGACUUGGCUGUGUAUAGCUGGCCAAGGUCAUCAUUUCAGAGCCUUGGGGCCAUUCUGAUUGAAGGAGAGAGGACAUUCUGGCCAAGACCAGGCACACUGCAGGGGGAGGGGAAGGAAGGAUAUGGACAGGAGUAAGGAGAAGGCCUUCUUCCCUUCCCCCCAUAAAUAUAUACCUUCUACCUGUCUGCUCUGCUGAUACAGCAUACAGUGAUACAGCCAGGCUGGAGAGCUGAUGGGCAAUAUUUAGCAAAUUAGAUCAACACGUACCCUGUGACCCAGCAACUCAAAAUGAAUUCUCACAGAGGCCCUUAAGAACCUUGCUUCUCAAACUUGUGGUCCCACCAGGACCAGCAAUGU
This 1393-nucleotide long non-coding RNA is filed under the name Suricata suricatta (meerkat). Its description in RNAcentral is "lncRNA (ENSSSUG00005012687.1)". Lineage: Eukaryota; Metazoa; Chordata; Mammalia; Carnivora; Herpestidae. The record is from RNAcentral.